GACGAAGGGGGCUAGCGUUGUUCGGAAUUACUGGGCGUAAAGCGUGCGUAGGUGGUUCGUUAAGUCUGAUGUGAAAGCCCUGGGCUCAACCUGGGAAUGGCAUUGGAUACUGGCGACCUAGAGUGCGGUAGAGGGUGGCGGAAUUCCCGGUGUAGCAGUGAAAUGCGUAGAUAUCGGGAGGAACAUCCGUGGCGAAGGCGGCCACCUGGACCAGCACUGACACUGAGGCACGAAAGCGUGGGGAGCAAACAGG
Molecule: ribosomal RNA, 253 nt
Filed under: uncultured bacterium
Lineage: Bacteria
Description: partial 16S ribosomal RNA
Rfam family: Bacterial small subunit ribosomal RNA
Source: RNAcentral